This is a non-coding RNA of Colinus virginianus (northern bobwhite), 76 nucleotides long. NCBI's taxonomy places the organism in Eukaryota, Metazoa, Chordata, Aves, Galliformes, Odontophoridae. The record is from Rfam.
GAGCUGUGAAGAAAUAUUUAAAGGAAUCUGAGAUUCUUCUGAAGUUGUAAGAUCCAACUCUGAGCUCAUUCUUUCU